Molecule: ribosomal RNA, 502 nt
Filed under: uncultured bacterium
Lineage: Bacteria
Description: partial 16S ribosomal RNA
Rfam family: Bacterial small subunit ribosomal RNA
Source: RNAcentral
AUUGAACGCUGGCGGCAUGCCUAACACAUGCAAGUCGAACGUGAAAGAGGGGCAACUCUCGAGUAAAGUGGCGGACGGGUGAGUAAUACGUAGGAAUCUGCCCUAGAGUGGGGGAUAACCUGCCGAAAGGCGGGCUACUACCGCAUGAUCUCGUAGGAGCAAAGGUGCCUUGUACUUGUACAAGGUUUCGCUCUAGGAUGAGCCUACGUCGGAUUAGCUAGUUGGUAGGGUAAUGGCCUACCAAGGCAACAAUCCGUAGCUGGUCUGAGAGGACGAUCAGCCACACUGGAACUGAGACACGGUCCAGACUCCUACGGGAGGCAGCAGUGGGGAAUAUUGGACAAUGGGGAAACCCUGAUCCAGCAAUGCCGCGUGUGCGAUGAAGGCCUGCGGGUUGUAAAGCACUUUCGGUGGGGAAGAAAUGCCCAAAGAUAAUAUCUUUGGGAGCUGACGUUACCCACAGAAGAAGCACCGGCAAACUCUGUGCCAGCCGCCGCGGUAA